This is a long non-coding RNA of Dipodomys spectabilis (banner-tailed kangaroo rat), 202 nucleotides long. RefSeq lists it as uncharacterized. The record is from RefSeq and is a predicted model, not a curated record. The transcript is spliced from 4 exons. Lineage: Eukaryota; Metazoa; Chordata; Mammalia; Rodentia; Heteromyidae.
AGGAGGCUGAGAUCUGAGGAUCCCGGUUCAGAGAGCCAGCCCAAGCGGACAAUCCUGAGAGACUCUUAUCUCCAAUUAACCAGCAAAAAUUCAGAAGUGGAGAUGUGGCUAACGUGGUAAAGUGCAAGUCAUGAGUGGAAAAAGGCUAGUGAAAACUUGAGGCCCUUAGUGCUAAGCUUUAAUAGUGGCACACACAUACACA